RNAcentral lists this ribosomal RNA (508 nucleotides) under uncultured bacterium. RNAcentral describes it as "bacterial SSU rRNA". It matches the Rfam family "Bacterial small subunit ribosomal RNA", at positions 21 to 518 of the family's 1533-position model. The record is from RNAcentral.
GGCUCAGGACGAACGCUGGCGGCGUGCCUAACACAUGCAAGUCGAGCGGAGACAUAUUUGAAGAGGAAGUUUCGGAUGGAAUUGGAAAGAUAUGUUUAGCGGCGGACGGGUGAGUAACGCGUGAGCAAUCUGUCCUUCACAGGGGAUAACACAGCGAAAGUUGUACUAAUACCGCAUAAGACCACAGAGUCACAUGACACAGGGGUCAAAGGAGCAAUCCGGUGAAGGGUGAGCUCGCGUCCGAUUAGAUAGUUGGUGAGGCAACGGCCCACCAAGUCGACGAUCGGUAGCCGACCUGAGAGGGUGAUCGGCCACAUUGGGACUGAGACACGGCCCAAACUCCUACGGGAGGCAGCAGUGGGGAAUAUUGGGCAAUGGGUGGAACCCUGAACCCCAGCAACGCCGCGUGAGGGAAGAAGGUUUUCGGAUCGUAAACCUCUGUCCUUGGUGAAGAGCAAGAGACGGUAGCCAAGGAGGAAGCCCCGGCUAACUACGUGCCAGCAGCUGC